This 505-nucleotide ribosomal RNA is filed under the name uncultured bacterium. RNAcentral's name for it is "partial 16S ribosomal RNA". It matches the Rfam family "Bacterial small subunit ribosomal RNA", at positions 28 to 507 of the family's 1533-position model. The record is from RNAcentral.
GACGAACGCUGGCGGCGUGCCUAAUACAUGCAAGUAGAACGCACAGUUUAUACCGUAGCUUGCUACACCAUAGACUGUGAGUUGCGAACGGGUGAGUAACGCGUAGGUAACCUGCCUGGUAGCGGGGGAUAACUAUUGGAAACGAUAGCUAAUACCGCAUAAUAUUAAUUAUUGCAUGAUAAUUAAUUGAAAGGUGCAAUUGCACCACUACCAGAUGGACCUGCGUUGUAUUAGCUAGUAGGUGAGGUAACGGCUCACCUAGGCGACGAUACAUAGCCGACCUGAGAGGGUGAUCGGCCACACUGGGACUGAGACACGGCCCAGACUCCUACGGGAGGCAGCAGUAGGGAAUCUUCGGCAAUGGACGAAAGUCUGACCGAGCAACGCCGCGUGAGUGAAGAAGGUUUUCGGAUCGUAAAGCUCUGUUGUAAGAGAAGAACGGGUGUGAGAGUGGAAAGUUCACACUGUGACGGUAUCUUACCAGAAAGGGACGGCUAACUACGUG